Molecule: long non-coding RNA, 72 nt
Organism: Amblyraja radiata (thorny skate)
Lineage: Eukaryota; Metazoa; Chordata; Chondrichthyes; Rajiformes; Rajidae
Exons: 3
Source: RefSeq, a predicted model, not a curated record
CUCAAAUUGUGGACUAAAAAAGAUAUUCACCUCCAGAAAAAAAGCAGGAAGUAUUGGCCGGGGUUCCAGGAG